RNAcentral lists this ribosomal RNA (301 nucleotides) under uncultured bacterium. RNAcentral's name for it is "partial 16S ribosomal RNA". It matches the Rfam family "Bacterial small subunit ribosomal RNA", at positions 509 to 807 of the family's 1533-position model. The record is from RNAcentral.
CAGUAGCCGCGGGAAUACGAGGGGGGCAAGCGUUGUUCGGAUUUAUUGGGCGUAAAGGGUGCGUAGGCGGUUUGGCAAGUCUUGUGUGAAAUCCCCGGGCUCAACCUGGGAACUGCAUCUUAUACUGCGUAGCUGGAGUGCAGUAGAGGGUAGUGGAAUUUCCGGUGUAGCGGUGAAAUGCGUAGAUAUCGGAAGGAACACCAGUGGCGAAGGCGGCUACCUGGACUGACACUGACACUGAGGCGCGAAAGCGUGGGGAGCAAACAGGAUUAGAUACCCGCGUAGUCCCUGUCUCUUAUAC